This is a long non-coding RNA of Pundamilia nyererei, 454 nucleotides long. RefSeq lists it as uncharacterized. NCBI's taxonomy places the organism in Eukaryota, Metazoa, Chordata, Actinopteri, Cichliformes, Cichlidae. The record is from RefSeq and is a predicted model, not a curated record. The transcript is spliced from 4 exons.
GGUAUGCAUGAUACUGAGGUAUUAUUCUUAGAUAAAACAUUUCUUGUUUCAUUACAAACAUAUUUGUUCAACUAGGAAUUUUCUGAGGAUGAGAGGGCAUGAAGACACCAUGGAGUGGCAGUUACAGAUUAUGCAACACAACAAGCAACAGGAUUCCAGCAGUUGCGGAGUUUUGCUGUUAAAGUUUGCAGAACACUACCUUGCUUUUGGAGAGGUCAGUGAAGUAUUAACCACUACAGAAGCAGUUGUACUGGAGCGAAUGCAGAUAGCUUGCACCCUACUUGAACAUCGAGGGAACGCUGAGGAUUACUGCAUUGUUUGCUCUAUGUUAGAUGCUGAUGCUGACCGCAGCAUGAUUGAAAUGGUGCAGUGUGAGUCUUGCCAAAGAUGGGCACAUUUUGCAUGUGCAAAAUAUAAAGAAAGCAACCAAGAAUGUAAAUGCAAAAAAUGUGAG